CUUAAAGGGACAGGAGCGGCGGGAGGAAGGCGGGGAACUUCAAUUCUCUGUCUCCCCACCAAGGAAAUGAGCGGGUACUGCAACGUGUGAUGAGUAACAUUACUGUGAGCUUAGAUAGAUGCCAAAGCCCACAACUUCACUUCCCUGGGUGAUGAGUUCUGAAUUCCCCCCCAGCCCUGAGGAACUGGGACUUCUUGGACUCCACUUUCUAAGAGCAUUUCACUGUGGAAUGGAUGCCCUCAGAAAGGCAGGGAACAGAAAAGGAAUCUCCACAAACAUCCAUCUGAAGGACACUGAAGACAGGUCUGACACAUUGCACAUGACCCAGAGGUGCAGCUGGACUCGGAACACUCCUGGGGACACGGUGGAAGCUGUAGAAUCAGAGAGACCAAGUGAUCUGCCAUGGCCACCAAGAAGCUCCCAAAAGAUCUGGGAGCAGAAAGAAAAAAAAUCCAUCCCGGGUUUUUGUGCUCAGUCCCGUCCUCAGGGCUCACCUGGAAGGCUGUGGCAGUUGUCUUGUCCCAGCACAGAAAGCCCUGCGGGGAGAGCGACUCUCACAACUCGACUGAUGGACAAGGAACAACAAGCGGAUCCCAGCGUUUUCCAGCGUGCAGUACCGCGUGUCCCCAGCGCUCGUCCUCAGUGCGCGUCCAAAGCCACCGGCCUGACACUCAGCUGCGUCCAUCCCGCUCCAGGAUCCCCCUGAUCCCACCCCAGGGAUCCCACUGAUCCCAUCCCACUGAUCCCACCCCACCCAUUCCCCGGAGGGGCACGCUCCAGCUCCCCACUUACAAAUAAACCCAGAGAAAACCA
This is a long non-coding RNA of Pyrgilauda ruficollis (rufous-necked snowfinch), 813 nucleotides long. RefSeq lists it as uncharacterized. Lineage: Eukaryota; Metazoa; Chordata; Aves; Passeriformes; Passeridae. The transcript has 4 exons. The record is from RefSeq and is a predicted model, not a curated record.